This 1176-nucleotide ribosomal RNA is filed under the name Amphidinium pagoense. RNAcentral's name for it is "partial large subunit ribosomal RNA". It matches the Rfam family "Eukaryotic large subunit ribosomal RNA", at positions 108 to 1336 of the family's 3401-position model. Lineage: Eukaryota; Dinophyceae; Amphidiniales; Amphidiniaceae. The record is from RNAcentral.
CUCAGCAUCAAAAUCAGGUACUUCUGACUUGUGGACUGCAGGGGUGAUGCCAACUUGGGUGCAGAUGUGAGUCUCUUGGAAUAGAGCGCCAGUGAGGGUCAGGGUCCCACUUGCCAUCUGUCAUCCCUUGUAGACGGCUUGCCCACAGAGAGUCGUGUUCUUCUGGAAUAGAGCACCAAUGGGUGGUACUCUUCGCCUUAGGAGCAUCAUAUCCUUGAGACCAAUAGUAAACAAGUACCAUGAGGGAAGGAUGAAAAGGACUUUGGAAAGAGGGUUAAGAGGACAUGAAGCUGCUGGAAGGGAAGUGGAGUGGACUUCUCUUUGUGGUAAGAUUGCAUAGUGGAUCUCUCACUAGUGAGACAAACACUGUGUGUGUCUUGCUGCUUGGUUGAGCUUUGUGUGGCGUCCAGAACCUCAACUUGAAUUGGCUGGAAGGUUGCGGCUUGACACAUGUCUGUUUUCUGUUGGCGCAACAACACACUUGUUCUACCAAAUGAUCCACUCUCACCCGUCUUGAAACACGGACCAAGGAGUCUAUCGCGUGUGCGAGUGAAAGGGGUCGAUGCCUGACAGCUCAACAAAAGUGACUGCUGGGAGUCUUGCGCCAGCAACCAACUGAUCACUCAAGAGAUGUUUGUGUGUGAGCAUACUUGCUAGGACCCGAAAGGUGGUGAACUAUGCCUGAGAAGAGCGACGUCAGGGGAAACUCUGAUGGAAGCUCGUAGCGCUACUGACGUGCAAAUCGUUCGUCUGACUUGGGUAUAGGGGCGAAAGACUAAUCGAACCAUCUAGUAGCUGGUUCCCUCUGAAGUUUCCCUCAGGAUAGCUGGAGCAGUACAGUUUUAUCAGGUAAAGCGAAUGAUUCGAGGCAUUGGGGAUACGCUAUCCUUGACCCACUCUCAAACUUUUAAUGGGUAAGCUCCACUGGUUGCCUUGGUGACGCAGGGGGCAGAAUUCAAGCUCUAGGUGGGCCAUUUUUGGUAAGCAGAACUGGCGAUGAGGGAUGAACCUAGCAUUGGGGUAAAGUGCAUGACUGCUCGCUCAUGUGACACCACAAAGGGUGUUGGUUCAUUUUGACAGCAGGACGGUGGUCAUGGAAGUUGAAAUCUGCUAAGGAGUGUGUAACAACUCACCUGCCGAAUGGACUAGCCCCGAAAAUGGAUGGCGCUGAAGCGG